UUUAAGAAAAUACAAAAUAACAGUAACUCCGAAUAACAUUUUGUAUUCGGAGUUACUGUUAUUUUGUAUUUACUUAAA
Paramuricea clavata is the source of this 78-nucleotide non-coding RNA. NCBI's taxonomy places the organism in Eukaryota, Metazoa, Cnidaria, Anthozoa, Malacalcyonacea, Plexauridae. The record is from the annotation of a GenBank genome assembly.